Molecule: long non-coding RNA, 981 nt
Organism: Passer domesticus (house sparrow)
Lineage: Eukaryota; Metazoa; Chordata; Aves; Passeriformes; Passeridae
Exons: 2
Source: RefSeq, a predicted model, not a curated record
GAGCGGCUCCGCGGUGAGGGGCCGGGCCCGGCCGGAGCGGUGAGGGGCGGUGCGGAGCUGGGCCGGGCCCGGCCGGAGCGGUGAGGGGCGGUGCGGAGCUGGGCUGGGCCCGGCCGGAGCGAGAAUGGGAUCAGAAAUAAUCUACUUUUCUGCUCUGUAAGGAUUCAUACCUGAGGCCUCAAAUAUGCUGUGUGUGCACUCGCCAUAAGAUUAGCAGGAAUGAUGGCUACAGUGGUCUGCCACAAUGCUGUUGUUCAGGGAGACGUGUGACUCAGAAGUGCAGUACAUUGUGUAUCACACAGUGUGUGCAUACAUAUUCAAGCACGUGUACUUCCUCUAAACUCUUACAGUGAAGUUUAUUUUGAUAUGGAUCUUACACUUCCUUCCUGCACACUCUGGAAAAGCUUGAAUCAAAUGAAGAACACUGUUACUACAAGUUCAGCUACUACUGAGCACAUGACAUGCAAGCAGCUCAGGAAUAUUAUUCAGUAUAUUUGAUGUUUGCAUAUUUUGGAAUUAAUGUUGUGUAUAAGCAGUAUAUCUCACAGGUAUCAGCAACUCUCCUAACAUGGAUCAGCUGCUGGAAAUGUAUUGAACAUUGCAUCCCCAAGUGACAGUUCUCUUCAUUUGGAGACUUUUUAUGCAAAAAGCCAAGGAAUUAUUUCACUAUUGCACAUGCAUGUAAUUACCAUAAUGCUUGCCUCUUUCAAAUGCAAAUACACUAAGUGGUACUUGAUAUGAAUUUCCUGGUUUGCCUAACAUGAGUAUAUAGCAAUAUUAUUAAGUUCAGUCCACUAGAAGAACAAUUACAGAGGAAAAGUGUUUUUCAAACAGCAUACAAGUUCUGGUGCUAAAAAGCAAGUUGGGAUGCUCCCAGUGCAUAAUUGCAGGCACUGAAAUCACAGACCCUGGACAAACUGGUCUCUCAGCUCAGAGGUCCCCUCCACCCCGGAUGUGUGGGCCUUUGAGCAGCCUGUUGUU